RNAcentral lists this ribosomal RNA (497 nucleotides) under uncultured bacterium. RNAcentral describes it as "partial 16S ribosomal RNA". It matches the Rfam family "Bacterial small subunit ribosomal RNA", at positions 28 to 507 of the family's 1533-position model. The record is from RNAcentral.
GAUGAACGCUGGCGGCGUGCCUAAUACAUGCAAGUCGAGCGGACAGACGAGGAUCGUGCUUCUCUUACGUGAGCGGCGGACGGGUGAGUAACACGUGUAUAACCGACCUAUGAGACUGAGAUAACGUCGGGAAACCUGAUCUAAUACCGGAUAAUAUAUUGAACCGCAUGGUUCAAUAGUGAAAGACGGAUUUGCUGUCACUUAUAGAUGUAUCCGCGCCGCAUUAGCUAGUUGGUAAGGUAACGGCCUACCAAGGCAACGAUGCGUAGCCGACCUGAGAGGGUGAUCGGUCACACUGGAACUGAGACACGGUCCAGACUCCUACGGGGGGCAGCAGUAGGGAAUCUUCCGCAAUGGGCGAAAGCCUGACGGAGCAACGCCGCGUGAGUGAUGAAGGUCUUCGGAUCGUAAAACUCUGUUAUUAGGGAAGAACAAAUGUGUAAGUAAAUAUGCACGUCUUGACGGUACCAACUCAGAAAGCCACGGCUAACUACGUG